UGGGGAAUAUUGCACAAUGGGCGAAAGCCUGAUGCAGCGACGCCGCGUGAGGGAUGACGGCCUUCGGGUUGUAAACCUCUUUCAGUAGGGACGAAGCGCAAGUGACGGUACCUGCAGAAGCAGCACCGGCUAACUACGUGCCAGCAGCCGCGGUAAUACGUAGGGUGCGAGCGUUGUCCGGAAUUACUGGGCGUAAAGAGCUCGUAGGCGGUUUGUCACGUCGUCUGUGAAAUCCUAGGGCUUAACCCUGGACGUGCAGGCGAUACGGGCUGGCUUGAGUACUACAGGGGAGACUGGAAUUUCUGGUGUAGCGGUGGAAUGCACAGAUAUCAGGAAGAACACCGAUGGCGAAGGCAGGUCUCUGGGUAGUAACUGACGCUGAGGAGCGAAAGCAUGGGUAGCGAACAGG
This 409-nucleotide ribosomal RNA is filed under the name bacterium. Its description in RNAcentral is "partial 16S ribosomal RNA". It matches the Rfam family "Bacterial small subunit ribosomal RNA", at positions 355 to 776 of the family's 1533-position model. The record is from RNAcentral.